UACGGGGGGGGCAAGCGUUGUUCGGAAUCAUUGGGCGUAAAGCGCGUGUAGGCGGCUCGGUAAGUCCGCUCUGAAAGUCCGGGGCUCAACCCCGGGAGGCGGGUGGAUACUGUCGAGCUAGAGUCCGGAAGAGGCGAGUGGAAUUCCUGGUGUAGCGGUGAAAUGCGCAGAUAUCAGGAGGAACACCAAUGGCGAAGGCAGCUCGCUGGGACGGUACUGACGCUGAGACGCGAAAGCGUGGGGAGCGAACAGG
RNAcentral lists this ribosomal RNA (253 nucleotides) under uncultured bacterium. RNAcentral describes it as "partial 16S ribosomal RNA". It matches the Rfam family "Bacterial small subunit ribosomal RNA", at positions 524 to 776 of the family's 1533-position model. The record is from RNAcentral.